Molecule: ribosomal RNA, 495 nt
Filed under: uncultured bacterium
Lineage: Bacteria
Description: partial 16S ribosomal RNA
Rfam family: Bacterial small subunit ribosomal RNA
Source: RNAcentral
GACGAACGCUGGCGGCGUGCCUAAUACAUGCAAGUCGAACGCUGAAGGAGGAGCUUGCUUCUCCGGAUGAGUUGCGAACGGGUGAGUAACGCGUAGGUAACCUGCCUGGUAGCGGGGGAUAACUAUUGGAAACGAUAGCUAAUACCGCAUAAGAGUAGAUGUCGCAUGACAUUUGCUUAAAAGGUGCAACUGCACCACUACCAGAUGGACCUGCGUUGUAUUAGCUAGUUGGUGAGGUAACGGCUCACCAAGGCAACGAUACAUAGCCGACCUGAGAGGGUGAUCGGCCACACUGGGACUGAGACACGGCCCAGACUCCUACGGGAGGCAGCAGUAGGGAAUCUUCGGCAAUGGACGGAAGUCUGACCGAGCAACGCCGCGUGAGUGAAGAAGGGUUUCGGAUCGUAAAGCUCUGUUGUAAGAGAAGAACGAGUGUGAGAGUGGAAAGUUCACACUGUGACGGUAUCUUAACAGAAAGGGACGGCUAACUACGUG